UUUCAGUCUUGCUCUGGAGACGAGCCCCACUUUUGCUACUCAAAAAUUCAAUACCUAUUGUCCUAAGAAGUGACAAAUAAGGAUAUUGUUUUUAAAAAGUUGCUUGAAAUGUCGCUGUGGUGGCGCAGAUCAUACUUGGGUUACUUAUUGAUGCCCAGAGUUGAAACAAUCAGAAAAGAACGUGCACGUCAUUUGAAUUCCGAUGAACUCAAAUCAGAAGAAACCUAUGGACUGAUACCAAGACCUGAUAGCUACUGAAGCAGCUGAAGAAGUGGAAACAAGGAAAAUUCUGUUUAGAUAUCUCUAGUAUCUUACGAAGGCUUUGCACAGGCGUUGAAGUACACUUUAUGAACAGAAA
Daphnia carinata is the source of this 358-nucleotide long non-coding RNA. RefSeq lists it as uncharacterized. The record is from RefSeq and is a predicted model, not a curated record. Lineage: Eukaryota; Metazoa; Arthropoda; Branchiopoda; Diplostraca; Daphniidae. The transcript is spliced from 2 exons.